RNAcentral lists this ribosomal RNA (448 nucleotides) under uncultured bacterium. RNAcentral's name for it is "bacterial SSU rRNA". It matches the Rfam family "Bacterial small subunit ribosomal RNA", at positions 944 to 1391 of the family's 1533-position model. The record is from RNAcentral.
GUUUUCUUCGAUGCACCACGAACAACCUUACCUGGCCUUGACAUACUACAAACUUUCAAAAGAUGGAUUGGUGCCUUCGGGAAUCUAAAUACAGGUGCUGCAUGGCUGUCCUCAUCUCGUGUCGUGAGAUGUUGGGUUAAGUCCCGCAACGAGCGCAACCCUUUUCCUUACUUGCCAGCAUUUCGGAUGGGAACUUUAAAGAUACUGCCAGUGACAAACUGGAGGAAGGCGGGGACGACGUCAAGUCAUCAUGGCCCUUACGGCCAGGGCUACACACGUGCUACAAUGGUCGGUACAAAGGGUUGCUACACAUGCGAUGUGAUGCUAAUCUCAAAAAGCCGAUCGUAGAUCGGAUUGGAGUCUGCAACUCCACUCCAUGAAGUCGGAAUCGCUAGUAAUCGCGGAUCAGAAUGCCGCGGUGAAUACGUUCCCGGGCCUUGUACACACC